This is a long non-coding RNA of Limulus polyphemus (Atlantic horseshoe crab), 1067 nucleotides long. RefSeq lists it as uncharacterized. The record is from RefSeq and is a predicted model, not a curated record. The transcript has 5 exons. NCBI's taxonomy places the organism in Eukaryota, Metazoa, Arthropoda, Merostomata, Xiphosura, Limulidae.
GUGGCUACCAGUGGGCUCUUGGAUGAUAGUGAAGAUGAAGGAUGGCAAGUGAUGGAACCAAAAAAUAAAGGCAUUGUAACCAGAGAUGUGUUGAUUUGGUCACAUGUUGAUUCAGUGCUAGCAGCUCAAGACCACCUUACUAGCAAGGAGUAUAUUCAAGGGUAUGCAUGCAAUAAAACAAAACCAUAGAUUUUCGUCUACCCCGAUAUGACCUCAGAACUUUCCGUGGAAUGUACACUUAUAUUAUACAUAUUCCUGGAGUAAACUGCUUUUGCUUUAUGGAGAUAUAAGCAAUAGACUGAAGACCACAUGCCAAACUCCAUCGAGGUUGAAUGAUACUUCACGGAGAAUCAACCUAAAAAAGCUGCCUUUGGUUUUUGUCCUUCAUCUCAAAAGGCUUGUUCAGGACAAACGUUGAGGAUCUAAGAAAGUGAUGAAAUCUACAGAAUAUUCUGUCAGCUUAGAUCUUUCAAGAGUGGUUUAUCAUGAGGGGAAAGAAUGUGUCAAAAAGAUCAUUAUAUAACAGAUAUGUAUCAUGCUGGUAAUGGUGGCUGGUUACGUUGUGAUGACUACACCAUAUCUUCCAUUACUGAGAUACAUCUUCUUCAUCCCAGUCCACCCAUGGUUCCUUACCUUUUGUUUUACUGUUGUUUGGACACUGUCUAGCCAGGAAUCCUGACAAGAUGAGCCCGUUCAUUGAAGUUACAUCUUGUUAACUCUUUUCUGAGUCAAUGUUUUGUUGAUAGUCAUUGCAAAGCCUGGAUAAUUCAACUUUUGAGUUGCGUAUGUAUAUAAUAAGGUAUAUAUGUAGUGAGUACAUCCCGUCAGGUACAUCAACAAAUCAAAAUAUUGUUGUGAAAUCCAUUCAAGAUUCAGCCACGAAUCCAAACUUGUAGGAAUUUUAGUAGUCCAUCAUUAAAUAUACAUAUCUUAGUUAUCCAUAAAAGUCUUCAUUGACAGACGGUAUCACAGAAGAAGAAAACCUUUGUGUGCUCAAAAAAGAUAAAAAAAUAUCCUUUUCUAUGAGUUUUGGAUGAACCGAGUAUGAACUGAACUCGUAACAUUUU